UCUGGGCCUUAAUGGCAAAAAAAGAUAAAUCUGGAUCAAAUGGAUACAUUGUCAGUACAUAAAGAAAAAAGAUAUUAAUACUAUGAGAAUUCCUAAACAAGCUAGCUAGCUCGUUAGGAAAUUUUUUGGCGCAAGAGAAUGGUGGGCAGCUGAUGGUAUAGGACUACAAACAUGUACAAAUAAUGGGCAAUUUAGCAUCAAGAAGGCAUACAUUCAGACCACUCCUCAAUACCCCAAGGUUACAUGGAAAAAAUUAUUAAUGGUGACUGGCAUGCUCCCGAAACAAAAAUACAUCUUAUGGAUGGCGCUGCAUAGACGCUUGGCGACGGUUGAUAGAUUAGCUAAAUGGGGAAUUCACACUAAUCACUCUUGCAGUUUGUGUGGAAGAGAUACUGAAGAAACUCACGAACACUUAUUCUUUGACUCUUUAUACUCCAAAACAUUGUGGCAAGCUAUGUUAAAAUGGUUGAAAUAUUAAAGAACGACAGGCACAUGGGAAACAGAAAUCCAAUGGCUAACAGCUAAUGUUAACAGCAGAAAUCCCAGAAACACCAUCCUAGGUGUGGUGUUUGCAGCAGUAGUAUACAAUAUCUGGAUGGAAAGGAACAACAAAAGGUUUCAACAGACAACCAGAGACGCCAAAGACCGAGCAAAAAAGAUUACAAUUCAAGUGCACUUCACUGGCGUAAAUCUACCUAAAUGGUCACAUGUUACAGAACAUAAAUAGCUAUCCUUUAUGCGAGUUUCCAUAAUUGUAGCAAUUUUUGUAAUAAUAUAUUAGUUUUAACAACAACAGUUGUAGAGUUUUCAAAAUGAUUGUACUACUGAGAUCUGUUCUAGAGUCCAAAAGAACAGAUGAUGUAAAUUUGCCAUAUAGUUGAAAUAAAAUCAAAAUUNNNNNNNNNNNNNNNNNNUCUAACGGGGGAUAAACGUGGCAUAUAAUUGAAAAUUUGGCGUAUAGUUGAAUAAAAUCAAAAUUUCUUCUAAAAAAAAAAAGAAAGCUCCGGCACAUUAAGAAAGAGUUUGACUCUGACUUGCUUUCCUUCAAUGAUUUAGUGGAUGAAUAUGUUUCUAACUUGGGGUAUAUAAGAGUCCAACAAUUAGUAGUUAGUGGUCCUUCUGGUUCAUAUUAUGAAAUAGAAGGUGAUUAUGGCAUUAGGGCUUUGCUGGACCUUGUGAAUGAACAGUUUUAUGUUAUAAAUUUAUUUGUUGUAGAGGAUUGUGAGCCAAGUAUUAACGUACCUAAUAUAAUCCAUCACAAUGAGCAUGAUGAACCUGAAGUACUUGAAGCUGCCACUGAUUGUGAUGAAAGUGAUAAUGGUGAUGAUAAUGAAAAUGUUGUUUCUUCUGACUAUGACUGUGAUACACUAAAAAAAAUUUUUAAACAAAAGAAGAGAGACAUUAUGAUAAAUUAACUGACUAUAAAGAGUUGGAUAGGUCAAUGACAUUAAAAGACAUUGUUGAAGCUAGAAAAGUUAUAAAUAUGUAUGCACUUGCAAAUGGUAAUGGGUUAGAGCAAGUUAAAAGUGACAAGGGUAGGCUUAGGUACAUUUUUGAAGGUGUCUGCCCUUUUGUAUGCCAUAUAACUAGGAAUACUUCAGGGGUGGGGCUGAAUUUAGGACAUUACAUUCUGAGCACACUUGUGAACUUGCAUAUGAGAAUCAUAGGGUAAAUGCCAAGAACAUUGCUGAAUACUUCAAGAGAAGGUUACAAAAAAAUCCAACCAUUAAGGUUAAAAAAAUGAGGGCAAGCUUGAAGGUUGCAUUUAAUGUAAAUGUGAGUGAGUCAAAGUGUAAGAGGGCAAAGAGGUUGAUUUUGGAGAAUCGGGAAGGUAGUUUUACAUAUGAGUAUAACAAAUUGGUUGUAUAUAUUAAUUAAUUGAAGAGUAGUAAUCCUGGAAGUGAUGUAAUAGUUAACAUGUCAAAGGAUGCUCUUGCCGAAGGCAAAAGAAGGUUCCUAAGGAUGUAUAUAUAUUUUAAUGCAAUGAAGAUGGGGUUUAAGAGUGGUUUAAGGCCCUUUAUAGGGUUGGAUGGAACUUUUUUGAAAGGGAAAGUUAAGGGUCAUCUCUUGGUUGCAAUUCAUCAAGAUUCUACAAACCACUUUUAUCCAUUAGCUUGGGCUAUUGUGGAUAAAUAAACAAAAGUCACAUGGAAGUGGUUUUCAACCCUUCUCCAAAUGUCUUUGGACCUAAAGAUGGGUGAAGGCAUUACUUUCAUCUCAGAUAUGCAAAAGGUAUGAACACUUUAAAUUUUCUUUAUUAUUUUCUUACUUCAGUAGUAUUCCUUUAUUGUAGAUUCUCAUACUUCUUAUUUCCUAUACAUGUAAGGCCUCAUUGAAUCAAUAUAUGGUGUGCUUCCUGAGGCACACCACAGAUUUUGUGUUAGACACAUAGAAGUAAACUGGUGCAAGAGAUGGGGAUUUGGGGAGUACAAGAAACUUCUAUGGUGGGCAGCUUGGAGUACCUAUGAGGAGGACUUCCAAGAUAAAUUGAAGAAUAUGAGCCAACUGGAUGAUGAUGGCAAAGCUGCUGUUGAAGAUCUGUUAAGGUAUCCACCAACCUACUGAAGUAGGGCCUUUUUUUAUACAACUUGCAAGAACCAGUCAGUUGACAAUAACUUGACUGAGUCCUUUAAUUCAUGGAUACUGCAAGCUAGACAGAAGCCAAUUAUAAAAAUGUUAUAGGAGAUAAAAAAGGUGAUGAAUAUAUUAAAUUAUAAUGAAGCUGGAGUUAUUGGGUGGGGAGGUGAGUACAGUCCUAAGACUCUAAACUUGUAUAAUUAGUUUAUGAGGAUUGCACAAAAGUGUCAUGUCAAUGGCAGUGCUGACCAAGGAUAUGAGGUGACAGAAGAUAGUGAUAGGCAUAUUGUCAAUCUAGGAGAAAAAAUAUGCACUUGCAGGACAUGAGACCUUUGUAGAAUCUCAUGUCCUCAUGCCAUCUGUGCACUCUUGUACAUGAAGCAAGAUACCAUAAUUUGUGAGGCAGGCUGGUAGACCAAAAGUAAAAAGAACAAGGGAGGCAAAUGAAUCAACCAAUAGGCAAGGGCUAUGGUCUAAAUCCAGAAAAGGGGGAUUCAUGACAUGUAAUAACUGUGGAGAAUCAGGACAUAAUGCUAGGGGUUGUGCGAAGGUAAUCUACCAAUCCCUUUAACUGUUUGUUUAAUAUAUAACUAGAGAACACAUUAUUGUUCUACAAAGUUUCUGCCUUGUUCUAACACAUUAUUGUGUUCUAUUUGAGAAUAGCACUCUAAAGGGAAAGAGCCAAUGACUGGGAAUUCAAAGAGAAAGCAGACCAAAAAGCAAAGAAUUAUAGUUAAUGAAGCUGUUAAUGAAUAUCCUACAUCACCAGCAGCUACACCUAUCCCAAGUGAAGAGGAAUUCAAUUUAUCAGCACCCCAGCCCAGUAAAAACAGUCAUCCCAGCAGCUUUGUCUUCAUGCCAACCCCUACUGUUCAGCAGCAUGUUCAUCAGCAACUUCCCAUAAAACCUGAGCCUGACAUAGUUGUAAGGCCAAGGAGCAUCUCAGAAGCAAGAAGAAGACUCCAGCUGAGGCAGCAAAACAUACCAAUUGCAAUUAGGCAAAUUGGAUUUGUUGAUGAUUCAAGUGGUGCAAGUCAGGCUUCAGUGCUUACUUUCUCAGUAAAAGGCCUAACAUGGCUGGGAGGAUCUGCCAUCACUGGAAAUCAGUUGAACAAGUAAAGGUUGAAGAAAUUGAAUGCUAGAAAGGGUAGUGGUAAGGAGCAGCAGUAACGAGACUUUGCUUCGAAUAGUGAACAGUUGUAAUAUUUUGGAUGUGUUGUAAUUACUGCUAUGUCAGUAAACUUUAUAUUCUGGAUAUGUUGUAAUUACUGCUAUAUCAAUAAACUUUAUAUUUUGGUUGUGGUUGUAUAGUUCUGAUAGUUGGAUGCCAUGAUAUAGCUAGGUGUUAGACAUCUUUUUAGUGUUAUAGUAUGGUACCCAACUGUUU
RNAcentral lists this long non-coding RNA (3964 nucleotides) under Nicotiana benthamiana. RNAcentral describes it as "long non-coding RNA (NBEN_LNC030359)". The record is from RNAcentral. Lineage: Eukaryota; Viridiplantae; Streptophyta; Magnoliopsida; Solanales; Solanaceae.